GAAUCUUUUUUAAAAUUCUUUAUAUAUGCAUAAAUUUUAAGAUAUUCUAAAAUUGUUUUAUAAUUACUAAACCCUCCGCACGGAUUCCCACCUUGACACGGUCGAGGGGCAAUGGCUGCCGAGGACACCCGGGUGUACCUGGGGACAGCCAGCUAAAAAAAAACGCCAAGUCAAGGUGUAAGCAACCGUGCCGAAAGCUGCAUGACGCGGGGGAAACCGCGUCGUUAACGGUAUCUCCUGAAUACCGAGUGAUCUCCAGAAGUAUAAAGCUAUACUCCGGGCAAUUACCACGUAAAAGUGGUUGCACUUUGAGUUCUACUCACGCUCUUCCCAAUUGAUCAACCAUACUUUGGACGUGAAAAAUUGCUUCUAUAUUUGAAAAUACAUUGAACUGCGAUUUAUUUUUAAAUUUAAGCAUUUAAGAGCAAAAAAGCAGAGUUGCUCUAAUAAAGCUGUCCCUUAUUUCUGAUUCCCACAACAGAAUUCCAAGAUUUAACCAUCUAGAAUACCUAUUUCAAACGUGAUCUAUCGACUGGUAACGUUAGUUUCUUUUAUACCACUUUUGCAAUACAAAACGGUCUCUUGUCAGGUGAAUGCACUGUAAAAUUAGUCACAGAGGCGGCAUCCAAGGUGUGGAGACCAGAAAAAAGGGACGACUUAGAGCGACUUUGCUUUCUCGUUUUUAAAUGCCCAAAUUUGAAAAUAAGUCGCAGUUUAGUGUAUUUUCAAGCACACCACAGAAGUAAUUUUUGACGUUCGAAGUAUGGUUUGUUGGUUGGGAAGGGUGUGGGUAAAAUUCAAAAUGCAGCCAUCUUCACGGGUGAAUGCUCAAUCUUUUUCAUUAAACUAAAUUAUGUACGAACGCAAAAAGUUGCACUAAUAAAUGAAAGGAUAAGAUAUAAGAAAUGAGUAAAAAAAGUGUGAAAGAGUGGAAGGCUAAUUCAUUCUGAUUCGUUUGCUUCUUUUAUUUUGUAUUGCACCUCUACUAUGUAGUGUUCGCACAAUUUUCACCAUUUGUACAGAAAAUCGACCUCCCGUCCCCAGCACUUUGGAGAAAGCUAUUUGGAUAAUAAAUACUUUCUUUGAUAGGCUCAUUACAAUGUCACAAAUCAAAUUUAAUUGCAAUCUGACCAUUUUUUGCUAUUUUUCAUAAUUUUCAUAAAUAUAUAAUAAUAUAUAAAUUCAUAAAUAUAAAAUUUAGUCAAAUUUUUCGAACUUGAACCUCAUGCGCAGCCUGAAGAUAUUGUCCGAUUACAAAAAUUUUUUUAUUGUAAUUGUCUUAAAACGUAGCAACUUUUUCGCAUUAUUACGUUUCAAUUUAAGCACUUUUUGAAAAUUCGAUCCAUCCUAAUGGGCUAUCAAGACUCUCAAAUCCUACAAGCCACAGGGAUCAGAUGGCAUCUAUCCGAUACUGCUUCAGCAAAGAGUAAACGAGCUGUUAGGUCCGCUGACAAAAACUUUCAAGGCUCAAUUGCACUAAAGCAUCCCAAAAAUCUAAACAGGCACAAGGAUGUUUUUCAUCUCAAAGACAGGACGUAAUGACCACAUCCUUGCUAAGGCCUAUUAGUCUCACAUCUAAUUUCUCACAUUUCUUCUAAAGACCUUAAAAAACUGGUUAACAUAUAUCUAAAGACUAUCCCCCUCUUGACGAAGCCUUUGGCGGCAGUAAACCUACAAAAAAGAGAGAUCCACAGAAAUCGCCAUACACCACUUGGCUAGUUGCAUAGAAAGUCAACUGGCGGCCGGGGGAUGCGGUUUAUUUUUAUUGCAAAAUCACAACAAUCUGCACUGACAACAGAGUAGUCCUACCAGCGCUGGCUAAGCUCUACAUUAAAACCUCAGUGUUCUGGGACUGUAUAACGGCGCUCAAGAGACUAAGUAUAUUAAACAAGGUAACCCUGGCAUGUGUGCCAAAACAUCAAAGUACAAGAGGCAAUGAGGUGGCAAAUUGCCUGGCUAAGAAGGGCUCAAAGAAAGGCACCUUGGAAUGAGCAAUCGGACUUUCCUUUGCUACUGGUAAAGCUACCAUCAGAAAGCUGAUGAACAAAGAAUAUCUAUCUAGAUGGAACAAAUGAUCGGUCAAAACUCUUGAUGGAAGGGCCAACGGACAAUAGAGCAAUAGAACUAACAGCAAUAAACACACAGCGGCUUGGGACCACAAUAGGACUUCUCACGGGGCACGGUGACUCUGAAGGCUUACCCAAAGAUAGCAGACGACGAUGUAUAUCGCCUAUGCAGACAAAGCGGGGAAAACAGUGCACAUCCUAUGCCACUGCCCUGCUCUGAUUUGUAAAAGAUACUCGAUCUGGAGAUGGGCCUUUGUGGAAUCCUUAGAAAAGUCAGACUAGGGGACCUAGUAUACCUGGUCUCUGACGGUUGGUCAAGAGGUUGGGAUUAAAAACCUAAGUGUAAAAUACACAGAAAUGUGAUAAUGGAUCUUAGAUCUAAAGAAUCCUAGGAGCCAAACUGGCCCCACCCUCUAAACAUAUACUACUACUAUAAUUUCUAAAAAAAAACUUAUAAAAUCUAGAACUGUGCGAUAUUUUUAUAAAUUUUAAAAAAUUUUAAAAUAUAAAAUUUUUAAAAAUAAAAAUUAACAAUAGUAAAUUAGAAAAUUAAGAAACAAUAAAAUUGUUAAACAUAAAAUAAAAUUCGUUUAUAUCAAUUAAUAGUGGUAAUAAUUUAUGUAAAUAAUUUGUGUUAAUUAAUAACUUUUACUGUCUCCAGUUUCAUUUUUUGUCAGUUUUGAAACAGAGUGCUUACGUGAAAUACGUAAUUUUACAAAUUAAAUAGACCAGUAAUUUAACUACUUCGUCGGCAGGCGAAAUUUCACUGUUCGUGCCCUUGUGAGCAAGAAAAAAAAAUAAUCGCAAUUCAACGAUAUUUUGUAUCUAAAAGCUUUCGGGGUUGCUGAUUACGAAUCAAACAUCAAAAUUUUAAAAUUCAAAAUGGCGGAUCUAAUAUGGCGGACCGAAAAUAUUUUAAUUUAAUUUAUUUGGAUAAAAUUUAUAAUACAGGGGUUUUUGAAUUGCUAAAUUUGGCUUCAUUUUGGGUCCGCCAUUUUGAAUAUUAAAGUUUUGACUUUGGAUUCGUACUCAGCAACCCAAAAAAACCUCUAGAUACCAGCUUUCAUAACAAUGGGAACAUUUUGAUUAUUUUGGGUCCGCCAUUUUAAAUUUUAGAGUUUUGACUUUAGAUUCGUACUCAGCGACUCAAAAAACCCAUAGAUACCAGCUUUCAUAAUAAUUGGAAAAUUUUGAUUAUUUUGGGUCCGCCAUUUUGAAUUUUUGAGUUUGGACCUUGGAUUCAUAUUCAGCGACACAAAAAAUCUUUGGAUAUUAAUUUUCAUGCAAAUCGAUCCAGUCAAUUAAAAAAUAAACGAUGUACGCCUAUGGCGUCAAUGCCCCCUGGGGCACACAUAUUUUCCGCGCCAUAUGGUGUCAAUGCCGAUGAAGUGGUUAAUAAUACUGAUGCUUUAAAGUAUAAGAUUUUCUUUCUCCAAAAAAAUAUAAAAAAUUUAUUGCAAAAAAUAAUGAUUUUGCCGGGAUUGCAACGUGCAAUUUACGUGAGCUAGAGGUACAAAAAAUUUAUACAAAUUAUUAUUUUUAGGUUAUAAUUUAUUAUUAUUAGGUUACACUAAAAUCUAUUGUUGACUAAUAUAAGCAAAUUUCAUUUUUAUGUUUGAUUAUAAGCAUUUUUUCAACAAAAUAAUUUUUUUGUUAAUUUAUUUUUUGUUACAUGUGUGUCAAAAACGGUCCUUUUGAUGGCCCUUUAUCGGCCUCUGUUACUAAUUGUACAAUUUUCUUUCACAAGUAACUGAUUCCCCCACCGAUCAACCGUGUGAAAAAGUCGUUCGAAAAUCAUUCCCGCACAAAUAUUUCAUUAAAAUCCCGUACGACUAAUUACUUCCCCUUCAUUUUGACAUUUAAGUCGUACCAUAGACACGUCAUCUCUCGACACGCAUAUGGUUUAUAACACUUAAAAACUUUUGCAUAAAUUACCGAUAUUCUAUUGCCAUCUAUGGCAACUUUGACGCUUUCGAACAUACCUUACCCUAGAUAAAUAACCUGUCAAUUCGUGUUGCACAGACAUCACGCGUCAUUGUAUCAAGGCCGCGUUAAAGUCAAGCAGUGCAACUUUGCAGUAAUGAACAUUAAUGAAUACAACAACUCGAUGCAUUUGUCAAAAAACAAGCAUAAUUUUAAUGUAAAAAAUCAAAAGUUUUGACGAUAACCUCUUGAUCAUACACAUUUAUUAUAGCUACAAAGGUAAAUUUUCAUGUAUUAGUAAAAUAAUUUAUUUACAUAAAAUUACAUAAAAAUAAAUUUUUUUAUUGCGGAGGGGGGGCUUCGCCGCAGAUCUCCCGUCCUCCGCCCUAAACCACUUCUCGCCUCCGUCAUUUUUUAUGCAAUUGUACAAAAAAAUAGAAUGUGUUACUUGUGCGGAUCGGCUAUUUCUAUUCGUGCGGGUAAACAUACUCGUUGGAAAUAGAUACGUUCCGCAUACAAAUAUCUCAAAAUUUCUAAAAAAAUUUUUUUAAUUUUCACAAUUUCUGUAUAAUUUCAUAACUUUUCAACAAAUUUUUUAAAUUUUUAAAAAUUAGAAUACCUUUCAGAAAUAUUAACAAAUAACACUACCCAACUAACACUCACCGAUUUGAAUAAAACUUAAAAUACUGAUUAAACAUUGUUGUGAGUGUAAUGCACUCACACAAGAAAUGUCGCAAGCGAUAUAAGGUGUCAAAUGACACCUCGCGCGCGGACAUCGCUCAGCCUAUAUACCGGGCGUCGCACCGGGCAAUGCAUCCGGUUGCUUAAGAGACAACACCCAAAAUCUCCUGAUUUUGGGGUAGAAUCCGCAUAGCCAGCAAUUGCUGGCUAAGCAAGAGCAUUGACCAAAGGUCAGUGACCGGGAAGUACCCUCCCCGGUUAUACCAAAAAUCGGUGUAUAUUAUCACCGAGGUACAGACAACGAGCGGGCUUGCUACACAUUAUACAGCGACGAACGUAUGUCGCUCGACACGAUACUUGUACGGGUAUUUCAAUACGAAUCAGUAACUCAGUAGAUUCAGUGUAACUUAGUAAAAGAAUAUAUACCGUAUUCAAAACCACUACUGGCUCAUCUCUUACGAGACCUGACCCGAGAAGUAACGACAGCGAUCCCAAUUACCUGUGUCCCUCUUUCUAAUAAGGGGCACAACACCAAAAAAUAUUAAACGUGUUUUUUUUUUGUUUCAGCUAUAUACGCAUUUUAAGGGUAAAACUCACCCCUCAAUCCCUAAGGGUGGAAACAGCUAUGGCUAAUUAUUUCAGAAACGAUACAUUUUCUGAAAAAGGUGCUCAGGACCAAAGUUGUAGGGUUAAAAGUGAUGCAUUUGAUGGUGACGUUGACCUUAAGAUCGACUUGCAAGAUAAAACAAUCAGGAGUUUGAAAGUGUUGAUUGAUCUAAUCAAUUAAGGCAAGAUCAGUCAGUGAUUUGACCAAUAAAGGAAAUAAAAGUUAAUUAUCUGUUCAAAUAAGGCGAGAUGUGAUCAAAAUCCAGCCAGUGAAGGCAAAAUGUAAUCGAGAUCCAGCCAGUGAAAGCAAGAUAUGAUCAAGAACCAACCAAUAAAAACAACAUAUAACCGAAAUCUGGCCAGUAAAGGCAAAAUGCAAUCGAGAUCCAACCAGUAAAAGCAAGAUUUCAUAAUCUAUAGCUGCGUUCCGAAAUUCAUUGUUAGUACUAAAAGUCUAGUUCAUGUUACGUAUACUAUACAUUUUCAAUACUGGCAGUAAAAUUUCGGAACGCAGCCUAUAAGUAUAAAUUCCACAAUAAUUGGCAUUAUUCUUUAUAUUCACAGCAAUAUGAGUAAAAGCUUCAUUUUCUAUCGCAAAAAAAUGUUCCAUACACAGAAAGUUAGUACACCACGCACAUUUUAUUACUGUAAUGUCAUUGCAGAUUUUGCAGACUGUACCGCAAUUCUUUAAACAAAAAUCAACAAGUGUUUCACAUCUAUCUGGUUUUUCUUCGAUAUACCCAUUUUUUUCACUAGGCGUAUUUAAUCAUGUUUUUGAAUCGGGAUAAUAAGAAUUGAUUAUGGAUUAAUAAUUAAAUUUUAAGAAUGUUAUUCCUCAAAUGUAGAUUAAUAUCAUAGUUAUAUAAGAAAAUUAAGACUAAAAAUUGUUUCAGAAAAUUUUUUCAUGGUUUAAAUACGUAGACAUCCAAUGGUUUAAGAAAAGCGGGGAGAAUUAAUAAAAUCCCGAAUGAAGUAUGGAAGUUGCGGGGGAGAGAGGCUGGAAGAGUGGGUGUAAGAAUUUUUUUAAGUAGGGUGCGGAAAGAAGAAAAGUGGUUAGAGAAGGAGUGUAGUAGUGCCUAUAAUAAAGAAAAGGGAUGAACUGAAGGUAGAGGACUAUAGAAGGAUAACUUUGAUGCCCUCACUUUAUACGGUGUACGCAAUGAUCUUAGCUGAGAGGUUGAAGGAGGACAUAGAAAAGAGGAUAAUUGCAGAUAAUCAAGCAGGUUUUAGAAAUAAUAGAGGUACAAUGGAUAACAUUUUUGUACUUAAUUAUCUGAUAAAUAGAUGUAUAGAUAGAAAAGGAGGGAAAAUGAUGGCGUUAUUUGUAAACCUGAAGGCGGCAUUUGAUUCGGUAGAUAGGGGGAUAUUGAUUAAAGCGAUGAGAGAGAGAGAGUAAGAGUGGGUUUGAUAAAAAGAAUGAAAACCUUAAGAGAGACAAAAAGCAAAGUUAGAAUAGAAAAAAUAAGAGAAGAGUUUUGGACAGGGAGGGGAGUGAGACAAGGGUGUCCGUUAAGUCCGCUAUUUUUCAACAUUUUGAUAACAGACUUGGAGGCAAUGAGAAGAUUUAAGUGAGUAGAUGUGAGGUUAGAAAGAGAGGUGCUCGCUAGCAUACACGGACAAUCUGGUUGUAACAGAGGAGAAAGAUCAGAUAAGGAGUAUGUUAGAAAGGCUGGAAACAUACUUAGAUGAAAAGAACUUAGUGUUAAACGCAGGGAAAUCAAGAGUAAUAAAAUUUAAAAAAAGGAGGUAAGGAAAAUAGAAAAAGUUAGUAAUGGAAAGAGAGAAGAAUAGAAGAAGUAAAGGAGUACAGCUAUCAUGUUGCAAAAAAACGGGGGACAAAAUUCUCAGAUAAGGGAUAAAGUGAGGAGAGCGUCGGCAGUGAUGGGUUAAGUUUGGAAGAUUAGAAAGAGAAGGUAUGGAAAGGAUUGGGGGAAAGGCUAUGGCUGUUCAACAGACUAGUAUAGACGGUUAUGGGUUAUUGAGUUGAUAUAGGGCUGGAAAGAAAGAAAUAGUAUAGAGAGGUUAGAGGAAAGGUAUUUAAGGUGGAUGUUAGGAUUGGAUUAAAGUACGUCGGAGUAUAUGAUAAGAUACAGAAGAAUAAAUUAAGAGGUAGAGCAGGAAAAAAAGCGUAGGCAUACAAAGAGGUUGAAUGAGGGAAAGGAUAAUAGGUUGGCAAGAAAAUGCUUAGAAGAGAUAAGAAUGAAAGAUAGGAUAAGAAAGGUGGGCAUAGGAUCGGAAAAAAAAGAAGGGAUAACUUUGAGCAUAGAGGGUAGAAACUGCAGAAGAUAGAUGGGGAAAAAAGUGUAGAGGAUUUUGAGGUUAUUUUUAGUAAGAAUACACAGUUGCAGAAAAAAAAAAGAAAAAGAAUUAAAGAGUAGGAAUAUAACAAAUGGUAUAAAUGUGUGAAGAAAAAAGAGGUGCCAGAGAAUUUUAAAAAAAGAUGAAAAGAGAGUAAGUGAAAUAAACUCAUAAGGUUAGGUUAAGUAACGGAAUGAGAGAGAAUAGAUAUUGAAAAAACGAAGACAAGAAAAUGUGCAGAUUAUGUGGAAGGAAUGUAGAGAUUGGAAGAAAGGCAAUGAAAGUUGGCAGAAGAUAGUGAAGAGGAUUUUAGGGGCGAAAGGAGAGUUGACUGAGAGAAUUGAAAAGAGAAAGAAAAGAGGAUAAAAAA
Molecule: long non-coding RNA, 7944 nt
Organism: Monomorium pharaonis (pharaoh ant)
Lineage: Eukaryota; Metazoa; Arthropoda; Insecta; Hymenoptera; Formicidae
Exons: 2
Source: RefSeq, a predicted model, not a curated record